GACGAACGCUGGCGGCGUGCUUAACACAUGCAAGUCGAACGGAAAGGCCCUGCUUUUGUGGGGUGCUCGAGUGGCGAACGGGUGAGUAACACGUGAGUAACCUGCCCUUGACUUUGGGAUAACUUCAGGAAACUGGGGCUAAUACCGGAUAGGAGCUCCUGCUGCAUGGUGGGGGUUGGAAAGUUUCGGCGGUUGGGGAUGGACUCGCGGCUUAUCAGCUUGUUGGUGGGGUAGUGGCUUACCAAGGCUUUGACGGGUAGCCGGCCUGGGAGGGUGACCGGCCACAUUGGGACUGAGAGACGGCGCAGACUCCUACGGGAGGCAGCAGUGGGGAAUAUUGCACAAUGGGCGGAAGCCUGAUGCAGCAACGCCGGGUGCGGGAUGACGGCCUUCGGGUUGUAAACCGCUUUCGCCUGUGACGAAGCGUGAGUGACGGUAAUGGGUAAAGAAGCACCGGCUAACUACGUG
Molecule: ribosomal RNA, 468 nt
Filed under: uncultured bacterium
Lineage: Bacteria
Description: partial 16S ribosomal RNA
Rfam family: Bacterial small subunit ribosomal RNA
Source: RNAcentral